CAGUGAGUGUGCGCAGUGCAGUGCAAGAAAAAAAUUUCAUGCUGCAGAACGCAGAUAUCGGCAACGAAUAUUUCCAUCUAAAAUGGAUGAAAAUACAGACUACAGACCCGGGAAUAGUCGUUUUUCAUAAACUUUUCAAAUUCAAUUUCAAUAUUUUUACGCAGUUCCUGACUCGAUCUGACUAAGAAUGCAGCAAGUGCAUUUGCGUGUAAGACAUCUGCGUCCCAGCGUGCUCGCCGCAAUUUUAGCUCCCCACGCCAGGGAAGCCGAGUGGAUGUAGCAACACCGAUUGCCCUUCCAACAAAGCUCUCUUGAAUGAGUGUUGUGACAAUCCGUGCGUUGUGAAAAUUCAUGCAUUGGACAACUCGAAUUCUCGACUCGAUUUACAAUCAUGUGCUUCUGAUCCACCUGGAUACAUCGGUGAUAUCGAUUCUGGCUGUACACCAGGUGUGAGAAAAAGCUCGUUACUGCUGAGGUUUGCGGACAACACAUUCAACAGUAGUUACCUAACGAUGAUAGAUGUUGACAUCAAAAUAAGGACUAUAGAGGUUAAAGGAGACAGGGUGAAGCUGUAGGUAUGGGACACCACAGGACAGGAGGAACUCAGGACAAUAACGUCAAUGUAAUACAGGGGUACGCAUGGCGUAAUAUCAUUGGUUACGACGUUACCAGAGGUGACUCGUUUGCAGAUGUCAAACGAUGGCUACACAAGAUUGACCACAACUGCAAUACAGUCAAUAGGGUUCUCGUGGAUAACAAAAUCGAUGCUUCUAACCAAAAAGUUGUACUGACCGAGGAUACUGAACGUUUUGCCACUCUUUGAGAGAACUCUUUGAGAUCUCUGCUAAAGGCAACAUCAAUGUUCAAGAGGCGAUCCAGAGUAAUUCGACGACGACGUCACUAUAACAGCGGCAGAGUUAUCGGCGACUCCAACGGCAAUGAGAACCGCGAGUGGUUGGACCGGUGGCUCAACGAGAUUCAAUCCAGAGCAAAAUGCAAAAGCCGCGACGACGGGGAAAAACGGAGCUCGAGGACGAGGGAGUUAUAGAAACAGGAGUCGGAGCGAGAGAAAACAAUACACGGAGACGACCUGAACGACGAGCCAACGAAUCCCAUUGUCGAGCGGAAAGACAGAGAGGAAAAAAAAUGAUAAAAAUGAUGCGAAGCACUAUGACACAUUACGAAAAAUGUAUUCACCUACGAGAAAGUCACCGAAAAUAAUACCGAUGGAUACUCCAGUUGAUGCGCAAGUGAUAGACGCGUCAGUGGGGGCAAUGGAAACUUGAGAUCGACAACUUUUUUCCUUUCGAUUCUAUGAAUAUGGAUUGAUCUGUAUUUUUCAAUAAACUUGUAAUUCAUCGUA
Molecule: long non-coding RNA, 1363 nt
Filed under: Venturia canescens
Lineage: Eukaryota; Metazoa; Arthropoda; Insecta; Hymenoptera; Ichneumonidae
Description: uncharacterized LOC122412483, transcript variant X5
Source: RNAcentral